Syngnathus acus (greater pipefish) is the source of this 96-nucleotide long non-coding RNA. RefSeq lists it as uncharacterized. The transcript has 3 exons. NCBI's taxonomy places the organism in Eukaryota, Metazoa, Chordata, Actinopteri, Syngnathiformes, Syngnathidae. The record is from RefSeq and is a predicted model, not a curated record.
UAUUGCAAAAUGGCAUAUUAUAGUUUAGGAGCAUUGAUAAGUCCCCCCCCUGAUCAAGAUCAAAUGGCAUUUCCUCAUAUAGUGGCAGGGAAAAAA